UGGUACUGGAUCAUCAAUUUGGGGGC
RNAcentral lists this non-coding RNA (26 nucleotides) under Rattus norvegicus (Norway rat). Lineage: Eukaryota; Metazoa; Chordata; Mammalia; Rodentia; Muridae. The record is from RNAcentral.